CCUGGCGGCCGUAGCGCGGUGGUCCCACCUGACCCCAKGCCGAACUCAGAAGUGAAACGCCGUAGCGCCGAUGGUAGUGUGGGGUCUCCCCAUGCGAGAGUAGGGAACUGCCAGGC
This 116-nucleotide ribosomal RNA is filed under the name Escherichia coli. The record is from RNAcentral. Lineage: Bacteria; Pseudomonadati; Pseudomonadota; Gammaproteobacteria; Enterobacterales; Enterobacteriaceae.